CUUACGAAGAGUUUGAUCCUGGCUCAGGAUAAACGCUGGCGGCGUGCCUAACACAUGUAAGUCGUACGAAGAGGUUCCCUUCGGGGAAUACUUCAGUGGCGAACGGGUGAGUAACACGUAGGUGACCUGCCCCGAAGCAGGGGAUAACGGUCCGAAAGGACCGCUAAUACCCAAAAGGAUCGUGCGUCAAACCGCGCUCAGAGUACCCCCUCGGGGGUGCGCUUCGGGAGGGGCCUGCGGCCCAUCAGCUAGUUGGUAGGGUAACGGCCUACCAAGGCGAUGACGGGUAGGGGGCCUGAGAGGGUGACCCCCCACACUGGC
RNAcentral lists this ribosomal RNA (321 nucleotides) under Thermoflexales bacterium. Its description in RNAcentral is "bacterial SSU rRNA". It matches the Rfam family "Bacterial small subunit ribosomal RNA", at positions 1 to 317 of the family's 1533-position model. The record is from RNAcentral. Lineage: Bacteria; Bacillati; Chloroflexota; Thermoflexia; Thermoflexales.